Molecule: small nuclear RNA, 118 nt
Filed under: Pectinophora gossypiella (pink bollworm)
Lineage: Eukaryota; Metazoa; Arthropoda; Insecta; Lepidoptera; Gelechiidae
Description: U5 spliceosomal RNA
Rfam family: U5 spliceosomal RNA
About the family: U5 RNA is a component of both types of known spliceosome. The precise function of this molecule is unknown, though it is known that the 5' loop is required for splice site selection and p220 binding, and that both the 3' stem-loop and the Sm site are important for Sm protein binding and cap methylation.
Source: RNAcentral
UAACUCUGGUUUCCCUUCAAAACGUAUAAAUCUUUCGCCUUUUACUAAAGAUUUCCUUGGAGGGGAACACUCAAAUGAGUCUAAUGAUACUUUUUGAAAUCCUCCUAAUGGGGAGGAC